AGAGUUUGAUCCUGGCUCAGGAUGAACGCUAGCGGCAGGCCUAAUACAUGCAAGUCGGACGGGAUCCGUCGGAGAGCUUGCUCGAAGACGGUGAGAGUGGCGCACGGGUGCGUAACGCGUGAGCAACCUACCUCUAUCAGGGGGAUAGCCUCUCGAAAGAGAGAUUAACACCGCAUAAUAUAUCUGACCGGCAUCGGUUAGCUAUUAAAUAUUUAUAGGAUAGAGAUGGGCUCGCGUGACAUUAGCUAGUUGGUAGGGUAACGGCUUACCAAGGCGACGAUGUCUAGGGGCUCUGAGAGGAGAAUCCCCCACACUGGUACUGAGACACGGACCAGACUCCUACGGGAGGCAGCAGUAAGGAAUAUUGGUCAAUGGGCGGAAGCCUGAACCAGCCAUGCCGCGUGCAGGAUGACUGCCCUAUGGGUUGUAAACUGCUUUUGUCCAGGAAUAAACCUUUCUACGUGUAGGAAGCUGAAUGUACUGGAAGAAUAAGGAUCGGCUAACUCCGUGCCAGCAGCCGCGGUAAUACGGAGAAUCCGAGCGUUAUCCGGAUUUAUUGGGUUUAAAGGGUGCGUAGGCGGCCUAUUAAGUCAGGGGUGAAAUACGGUGGCUCAACCAUCGCAGUGCCUUUGAUACUGAUGGGCUUGAAUCCAUUUGAAGUGGGCGGAAUAAGACAAGUAGCGGUGAAAUGCAUAGAUAUGUCUUAGAACUCCGAUUGCGAAGGCAGCUCACUAAGC
Molecule: ribosomal RNA, 737 nt
Filed under: Sphingobacterium siyangense subsp. cladoniae
Lineage: Bacteria; Pseudomonadati; Bacteroidota; Sphingobacteriia; Sphingobacteriales; Sphingobacteriaceae
Description: bacterial SSU rRNA
Rfam family: Bacterial small subunit ribosomal RNA
Source: RNAcentral